RNAcentral lists this ribosomal RNA (614 nucleotides) under uncultured bacterium. RNAcentral's name for it is "bacterial SSU rRNA". It matches the Rfam family "Bacterial small subunit ribosomal RNA", at positions 28 to 635 of the family's 1533-position model. The record is from RNAcentral.
AACGAACGCUGGCGGCGUGGAUAAGACAUGCAAGUCGAACGGGGAACUUACUUAGCUUGCUUUGAAAGUUCCUAGUGGCGAACGGGUGAGUAACACGUGAGUUACCUGCCCCAAAGCGGGGGAUAGCCUUCCGAAAGGAAGAUUAAUACCCCAUGUGCUCGCAAGAGUAAAGGCGGCUUCGGCUGUCGCUUUGGGAUGGGCUCGCGGCCUAUCAGCUAGUUGGUGAGGUAAAAGCUCACCAAGGCGAUGACGGGUAGCUGGUCUGAGAGGAUGAUCAGUCACACUGGAACUGAGACACGGCCCAGACACCUACGGGUGGCAGCAGUCGAGAAUCAUUCGCAAUGGACGAAAGUCUGACGGUGCGACGCCGCGUGGAGGAUGAAGGCCCUAGGGUCGUAAACUCCUGUCAUCAGGGAGUAAAGGUUUACGGAGUAACUGCCGUGGGCUCUGAUAGUACCUGAAGAGGAAGGGACGGCAAACUUCGUGCCAGCAGCCGCGGUAAUACGAAGGUCUCAAGCGUUGUUCGGAUUUACUGGGCGUAAAGCGUCUGUAGGCGGGAUGGUAAGUCAGAUGUGAAAUCCCGGGGCUCAACCCCGGAACUGCAUCCGAUACUG